AUGAACGCUGGCGGCGUGCCUAAUACAUGCAAGUCGAGCGAACAGACGAGGAGCUUGCUCCUCUGACGUUAGCGGCGGACGGGUGAGUAACACGUGGAUAACCUACCUAUAAGACUGGGAUAACUUCGGGAAACCGGUGCUAAUACCGGAUAAUAUAUUGAACCGCAUGGUUCAAUAGUGAAAGACGGUUUUGCUGUCACUUAUAGAUGGAUCCGCGCCGCAUUAGCUAGUUGGUAAGGUAACGGCUUACCAAGGCAACGAUGCGUAGCCGACCUGAGAGGGUGAUCGGCCACACUGGAACUGAGACACGGUCCAGACUCCUACGGGAGGCAGCAGUAGGGAAUCUUCCGCAAUGGGCGAAAGCUUGACGGAGCAACGCCGCGUGAGUGAUGAAGGUCUUCGGAUCGUAAAACUCUGUUAUUAGGGAAGAACAAAUGUGUAAGUAACUAUGCACGUCUUGACGGUACCUAAUCAGAAAGCCACGGCUAACUACGUG
This 496-nucleotide ribosomal RNA is filed under the name uncultured bacterium. RNAcentral describes it as "partial 16S ribosomal RNA". It matches the Rfam family "Bacterial small subunit ribosomal RNA", at positions 29 to 507 of the family's 1533-position model. The record is from RNAcentral.